AGGAUCACAAAUAAAGCUGUGUGUGUUUCAAGUGGUUGGUACAGGGAAGCUGUCUGUCCUAUGGCUGUAACUGCUUAUGGAGCUGAACCUGGUGGUGCUGCUGGGUUUUGAGAUGUUUUAUCAGUAUCCUGGCAAGUACAGGCAAAGCCAAUAUUGUCUGAUGUUUCCAUUUUCUUAAGUUCUGGUGUUGGUGCAAGACAUUGAUUAUAUUGAGAUUUACACUUGUGUCAUGAUGUUUGUGCUCUACUAAAGGACACAGCCAGCUGAAGCGAUCAGCAUGCAAAGAAAUCAGGUUUCCAUUGAUUUCAGAGAGUACAGAAUCCCCUGAGCUGGUCUCCAGGUGUUGCUGCCAUGGGAGUCCCAGAGGAUGAUGUACAGCACAUCCACCCUGAGCACUGGGCAGCUCUGCUGCAGGAAGUCAGAGAUUUUCUAGCAUGGAAUACAACAGGGCUUUUCUGCAGUUAUCAUGGAGAGAGCGUUUUCCUUGGAUGUGUGCAGCUCGUUUGUUACAAAGCGAGCCAUGCUCCAGGAAUUGAAGUUGUAACUCCUCCUCUGAAGUCUUGA
Molecule: long non-coding RNA, 564 nt
Filed under: Cyanistes caeruleus (blue tit)
Lineage: Eukaryota; Metazoa; Chordata; Aves; Passeriformes; Paridae
Description: lncRNA (ENSCCEG00000015431.1)
Source: RNAcentral